Molecule: ribosomal RNA, 433 nt
Filed under: uncultured bacterium
Lineage: Bacteria
Description: partial 16S ribosomal RNA
Rfam family: Bacterial small subunit ribosomal RNA
Source: RNAcentral
AGCGAACGCUGGCGGCAGGCCUAACACAUGCAAGUCGAACGAACUCUUCGGAGUUAGUGGCGGACGGGUGAGUAACACGUGGGAACGUGCCCUUUGGGUCGGAAUAACUCUGGGAAACUUGUGCUAAUACCGAAUGUGCCCUUCGGGGGAAAGAUUUAUCGCCAUUAGAGCGGCCCGCGUCUGAUUAGCUAGUUGGGGAGGUAAUGGCUCACCAAGGCGACGAUCAGUAGCUGGUCAGAGAGGAUGACCAGCCACACUGGGACUGAGACACGGCCCAGACUCCUACGGGAGGCAGCAGUGGGGAAUCUUGCGCAAUGGGCGAAAGCCUGACGCAGCCAUGCCGCGUGAAUGAUGAAGGUCUUAGGAUUGUAAAAUUCUUUCACCGGGGACGAUAAUGACGGUACCCGGAGAAGAAGCCCCGGCUAACUUCGUG